CCAAUGGUAAGGCAACGGGUUUUGGUCCCGUUACUGGGAGGUUCGAAUCCUUCCGUCCCAGA
RNAcentral lists this transfer RNA (62 nucleotides) under Anathallis sertularioides. Its description in RNAcentral is "partial tRNA-Gln". It matches the Rfam family "tRNA", at positions 11 to 71 of the family's 71-position model. From Rfam's summary of the family: Transfer RNA (tRNA) molecules are approximately 80 nucleotides in length. Their secondary structure includes four short double-helical elements and three loops (D, anti-codon, and T loops). Further hydrogen bonds mediate the characteristic L-shaped molecular structure. tRNAs have two regions of fundamental functional importance: the anti-codon, which is responsible for specific mRNA codon recognition, and the 3' end, to which the tRNAs corresponding amino acid is attached (by aminoacyl-tRNA synthetases). tRNAs cope with the degeneracy of the genetic code in two manners: having more than one tRNA (with a specific anti-codon) for a particular amino acid; and 'wobble' base-pairing, i.e. permitting non-standard base-pairing at the 3rd anti-codon position. Lineage: Eukaryota; Viridiplantae; Streptophyta; Magnoliopsida; Asparagales; Orchidaceae. The record is from RNAcentral.